This 239-nucleotide ribosomal RNA is filed under the name uncultured bacterium. Its description in RNAcentral is "partial 16S ribosomal RNA". It matches the Rfam family "Bacterial small subunit ribosomal RNA", at positions 95 to 334 of the family's 1533-position model. The record is from RNAcentral.
CCGGCGCACGGGUGAGUAACACGUAUCCAACCUGCCGUCUACUCUUGGACAGCCUUCUGAAAGGAAGAUUAAUACAAGAUGGCAUCAUGAGUCCGCAUGUUCACAUGAUUAAAGGUAUUCCGGUAGACGAUGGGGAUGCGUUCCAUUAGAUAGUAGGCGGGGUAACGGCCCACCUAGUCUUCGAUGGGUAGGGGUUCUGAGAGGAGGGUCCCCCACAUUGGAACUGAGACACGGUCCAA